GACGAACGCUGGCGGCAUGCCUAAUACAUGCAAGUCGAGCGAACAGAUGAAGUGCUUGCACUUCUGACGUUAGCGGCGAACGGGUGAGUAACACGUAAGGAGUCUACCUAUAAGCGGGGGAUAACAUUCGGAAACGGGUGCUAAUACCGCAUAAUAUCUUCUUCCGCAUGGAAGAAGAUUGAAAGACGGCUCUGCUGUCACUUAUAGAUGACCUCGCGGUGCAUUAGUUAGUUGGUGGGGUAAUGGCCUACCAAGACGAUGAUGCAUAGCCGACCUGAGAGGGUGAUCGGCCACAUUGGGACUGAGACACGGCCCGAACUCCUACGGGAGGCAGCAGUAGGGAAUCUUCCGCAAUGGGCGAAAGCCUGACGGAGCAAUGCCGCGUGAGUGAAGAAGGCCUUCGGGUCGUAAAACUCUGUUAUAAGAGAAGAACAAAUUGUAGAGUAACUGCUACAGUCUUGACGGUAUCUUAUCAGAAAGCCACGGCUAACUACGUGCCAGCCGCCGCCGUAA
Molecule: ribosomal RNA, 513 nt
Filed under: uncultured bacterium
Lineage: Bacteria
Description: partial 16S ribosomal RNA
Rfam family: Bacterial small subunit ribosomal RNA
Source: RNAcentral